This 391-nucleotide ribosomal RNA is filed under the name uncultured Actinomycetes bacterium. RNAcentral's name for it is "bacterial SSU rRNA". It matches the Rfam family "Bacterial small subunit ribosomal RNA", at positions 370 to 779 of the family's 1533-position model. Lineage: Bacteria; Bacillati; Actinomycetota; Actinomycetes. The record is from RNAcentral.
AAUGGGCGAAAGCCUGAUGCAGCGACGCCGCGUGGGGGAUGAAGGCCUUAGGGUCGUAAACCCCUUUCAGUAGGGAAGAAAAUGACGGUACCUACAGAAGAAGCUCCGGCCAACUACGUGCCAGCAGCCGCGGUAAGACGUAGGGGGCGAGCGUUGUCCGGAUUUAUUGGGCGUAAAGGGCUCGUAGGCGGUUACGUAAGUCGGAUGUGAAAGCUCGAGGCUCAACUUCGAGACGCAUCCGAUACUGCGUGACUUGAGUCCGGUAGAGGAGUGUGGAAUUCCUAGUGUAGCGGUGAAAUGCGCAGAUAUUAGGAGGAACACCUAUUGCGAAGGCAGCACUCUGGGCCGGUACUGACGCUGAGGAGCGAAAGCAUGGGUAGCAAACAGGAUU